This 106-nucleotide ribosomal RNA is filed under the name uncultured bacterium. RNAcentral describes it as "partial 16S ribosomal RNA". The record is from RNAcentral.
UAGUUCCCGGACCUUGUACACACCGCCCGUCAAGCGAUUGGAAGCUGGGAGGACCUAAAGACAGUUGCUGUAAGGCGCUGUUUAGGGUAAACCGGUGACUGGCGCU